AUUUUUUAGCACGAAAUGGUAUACGAUCGUUUGGGUGUUUGAAAUUUUGUUGUUGUUGUUUCAACAAUGAGUAACUUUUAAAAAGUGAUUAAUCCAAUAUAUCAAUAAAAUCAAUAGAAAAUGUUCUACCGAUAACGAAAAAAUAUAUUAUUGACUACAAGUGGCAUUGGUGUAUGCCUGAUAUAUGGAGUGCCGAACCCAGGAUACGUCGCGCAGUCGUCGCUUAUAUGCGACGCUCGUACCCACAGGUCAUUUCGUGGAUGUCGCCUAUAAGCGCCACCCGAAGCGAAAGGAGUUAAAGUUAGCCUAAAAAGUAGAGAAGAACACGCUUUUCCAGACGAAGCCUGUCCCACGGAUUGAUAAAUUCGGUGGUGAAAUGACCCAUGUCAGCGACGAGGAUGGAGCGCUCAGCAUCGUAGUACAGCGGGAUGAAGUGAAGAAGGCCGUCAAACGAUUAAACUCCGAAAAAACUGCUGGCGUGGAUGGGAUACCUGAAUAAGUAGCGAAAUUAGUAGCGGAGCAAAGGGGAUUCGGGGAACUCUUAAACAUGUUCAACGAUAUAAAUAGAACGGGCCUAUUGGUAUUCUGCCGGUGUCGAGCAAGGCGUGGGAACAUACCUUCAAAGCCCUCGUCGAGAGGAACCUGGGACAGGAACCCACCCACGCCGAUCAUUUCGGAUGUAGGAGGAGAAGAGGUACGGUCGACGCGCUAUGUGUCUGUAGAGGACAGGUAUAUAUGGAUAUUUGAUCGUGAGAUUAAUUGGAGAUUGUCGUUUGUUGUCACAACCGUCGAAUUUAUUUAAAACAAUAAGUUAAUGUACAGCCUAUAUUCGUUGAGUCGUUAGUACAAAGUAUAAAUAGUAAAAUAAAAUCGCGGAUAAAUACUCGAUAAAUACUCGUCUAAUAAUUCGGUAGAUAACACUUAGAUCGCUCGUUGGUACAGAAAGAUACUCGGAAAUACUAAACUCUUUUCGGUUGGUUGGGCACUCGGUCGGAAGAUUCAAAUUCGUCUUUGUUCGACGGUUAUGCAUAGCUGCGACAUCGUUUUUCCCAAAGUUUACCUAUUAUUACAUUAUUUGUAUCCUAACGAUAUUGAUA
This is a long non-coding RNA of Bombus terrestris (buff-tailed bumblebee), 1097 nucleotides long. RefSeq lists it as uncharacterized. The transcript has 2 exons. NCBI's taxonomy places the organism in Eukaryota, Metazoa, Arthropoda, Insecta, Hymenoptera, Apidae. The record is from RefSeq and is a predicted model, not a curated record.